GGCAUGCUUAACACAUGCAAGUCGAACGAGACCUUUGGGUCUAGUGGCGCACGGGUGCGUAACGCGUGGGAAUCUACCCUUUGCUACGGAAUAACUCAGAGAAAUUUGUGCUAAUACCGUAUGAUGUCGAAAGACCAAAGAUUUAUCGGCAAAGGACGAGCCCGCGUAGGAUUAGCUAGUUGGUGUGGUAAAGGCGCACCAAGGCGACGAUCCUUAGCUGGUCUGAGAGGAUGAUCAGCCACACUGGGACUGAGACACGGCCCAGACUCCUACGGGAGGCAGCAGUGGGGAAUAUUGGACAAUGGGCGAAAGCCUGAUCCAGCAAUGCCGCGUGAGUGAUGAAGGGUUUCGGCUCGUAAAACUCUGUUAUUAGGGAAGAACAAAUGUGUAAGUAACUGUGCACGUCUUGACGGUACCUAAUCAG
This 424-nucleotide ribosomal RNA is filed under the name uncultured bacterium. RNAcentral's name for it is "bacterial SSU rRNA". It matches the Rfam family "Bacterial small subunit ribosomal RNA", at positions 41 to 486 of the family's 1533-position model. The record is from RNAcentral.